GGGAGCCGCCUUCGGGAGGAGGCCGAUGGGGCGCGGGCAGAGCCACUGCAGACUAAAUAAGGGCGGCGGUGGCUGCCAGUGUGUGUGCGCGUGCGCCCAGCGGUGCCCCUUCACUGGUGGGGGCUUCCUCGCUCACGUCCGACUUCUCCAGGUCUCAGAAGAGUUGCUACUGUCGCCGCUACAUCCUUCCUCGCCAUUCCAUGAAACCCCGACACUACGCACGCUGACGCUGACCCCGACGCUGCGUCGAAUGCGGCGUCGGGGUCACCGUCAGCGUCCUAGCGUUGUGUGUGGCGUCGGGGUCAGCAUCAGCGUGCGUAGCGUUGGGGCCACGUAAACGUCGUGGGCGGGGCGGCUCAGCUCAUCGAAGGGCAGCGGCGAGGAAGGUUGCAGCAGCGGUGGUGGCGAUUCAUCUAAGACACCGAGCAGUCGGCUGCCAGCGAGGAAGCAGUGGUGGGGAGUCUCAGUCUUCGCUGGCGGCAGCAGCGGCCGAGGACCUGGAGAACCAGGAAGCAGUGGGUGUCGGCGUGGGCGUUCCGUGGGGCGUCCUGCUUUGGACAGCGCAGUUUGUGGGCAGGAAGUGGUGGCGGCGAGGAAAGACGCGGCGGGGCACAGAGUCCAGCAGUCAGGAGCGUCGGUGGCCGGCGAGGAAGCAGGAGGGAGUGGCGGUGCUGACGCCAUGGGCAGCAGAGAAGCAGGUGGCGGCGGGGGCUCUGUGUUGGGCAGCGGAAGAGAGAGGCCGGCGGCAGUGGCGGCUUGAGAUAGCAGUGGCAUCAGCGUCAGGAAAUGAAACUUUGUAGAGCUCACAGCAGGACAUUGGUGCAGGUGUUUUCUGGGGAAGAAGUGUCAGGUAUGGAACAAAUCCUGAUGCUUUUAACCUGGGCAGAGAAAGGAGGUGACCCAGACAGCAGGUGUACCAGGGAGCACAGGGGUGAAUCAGGGUUGGGACCUGUUAGGGUGAACGGCAGCUCCCCGAGGGUGUGUGAGUGUGUGUGUGUACAUAGGGUGAACGGCAGCUCCCUGAGGGUGUGUGUGAGUGUGUGUGUGUGUGUGUGUGUACAUAGGAUGAACAGCAGCUCCCCGAGGGUGUGUGAGUGUGUGUGUGUGUGUACAUAGGGUGAACGGCAGCUCCCCAAGGGUGUAUGUGAGUGUGUGUGUGUGUGUGUGUACAUAGGGUGAAUGGCAGCUCCCCGAGGGUGUAUGUGAGUGUGUGUGUGUGUACAUAGGGUGAAUGGCAGCUCCCCGAGGGUGUAUGUGAGUGUGUGUGUGUGUACAUAGGGUGAAUGGCAGCUCCCUGAGGGUGUAUAUGAGUGUGUGUGUGCAUGAGUGUGAGGGUGUUGUGACUGAGUGCUGUGGGAGUGUGUAUGUGUGAGGGUUGUGUAUGGCUGAGUGUGUGUAUGUAUGACUUGUGGGGGGUGAAACUGUGAGGGAAUGUGUUAUGUGUGGGGGAGGGUAUGAAUGUGGGGUGUGUGAGGUUGUUGUGACUGUGUGUGAGGGUGUGUGUUAUGUGUUUGAGGAGGGUUUGAGUAUGGGGUUGGUGCAUGUGUGUGAGGGUGUGUGUGAGUGUAGCUGUGUGUGACUUUGUGAAGGUGUGUGAGAUAGUGUGAGGGUGUGUAUUUUGUGUUUGGGGGAGAGUGUGGGGUGUGUGUGUGUAUAUAAGUGUGAGGGUGUUGUGACUGGGGCUGUGAGACAUUGUGAGGGUGUGUGUUAUGUGUGGGGGAAGGUAUGAGUGUGGAGUGAGUGUGAAUGUGUGUAUAAGAGUGUGAGGGUAUGAGUGAGGGUGUUGUGACUUCGGGUGUAUGUGUGACUGUGGGGGGUAUUAGCCAGUGUGAGAGUAUGUGUUGUGUUUGGGGAGAGUGUGAGUGUGGGGUGUGUGUGUGUGUGAAUAUGAGUGUAAGGAUGUGUGUGUGUGAGUAUGAAGGUGUUGUGACUGAGUGUGUGUGGGUGUGUAUGUGGGACCGUGUCAGGGGUGUGUUAUGUGGAGGGGAUGAGUGUGGGGUAUGUGUGAAUAUGAGUGUGAGGAUGUGUGUGAGUAUGAAGGUGUUGUGACUGUGUGCAGGUGUAUAUGUGACUAUAUGGAGGGAGUGUGAGACAGUAUGAGGGUGUGUGUUAUGGGGGGUAUAAGUGUGGAGUGGAUGUGUGUGUGUGUAAGGGUGUCUGUGUAUGAGUGAGUGUGUGAGGAUGUGUCACUGUGUGUGUGAGUGUGAGGCUGUGUGUAUGUGUGUGUGGACUAUUUAUUUUACCUUGUGAGACUAGUGUUAUUUACUCCUGGAGUUUGUUGUUAUUAUUAGAGUGACAGAGGGAGACAGAGCAAUCUCCCACCUGCCA
This is a non-coding RNA of Oryctolagus cuniculus (rabbit), 2328 nucleotides long. The record is from RefSeq and is a predicted model, not a curated record. NCBI's taxonomy places the organism in Eukaryota, Metazoa, Chordata, Mammalia, Lagomorpha, Leporidae.